This 962-nucleotide ribosomal RNA is filed under the name uncultured bacterium. RNAcentral's name for it is "bacterial SSU rRNA". It matches the Rfam family "Bacterial small subunit ribosomal RNA", at positions 521 to 1490 of the family's 1533-position model. The record is from RNAcentral.
UAAUACGGAAGGUGCAAGCGUUAAUCGGAAUUACUGGGCGUAAAGCGCGCGUAGGUGGUUUGUUAAGUUGGAUGUGAAAGCCCUGGGCUCAACCUAGGAACUGCAUCCAAAACUAACUCACUAGAGUACGAUAGAGGGAGGUAGAAUUCAUAGUGUAGCGGUGGAAUGCGUAGAUAUUACGAAGAAUACCAGUGGCGAAGGCGGCCUCCUGGAUCUGUACUGACACUGAGGUGCGAAAGCGUGGGUAGCGAACAGGAUUAGAUACCCUGGUAGUCCACGCCGUAAACGAUGAUAACUAGCCGUUGGAUUUAUCCAGUGGCGCAGCUAACGCGUUAAGUUAUCCGCCUGGGGAGUACGGCCGCAAGGCUAAAACUCAAAUGAAUUGACGGGGACCCGCACAAGCGGUGGAGCAUGUGGUUUAAUUCGAUGCAACGCGAAAAACCUUACCUACACUUGACAUACUUCGAAUUUUCUAGAGAUAGAUUAGUGCCUUCGGGAACGGAGAUACAGGUGCUGCAUGGCUGUCGUCAGCUCGUGUCGUGAGAUGUUGGGUUAAGUCCUAUAACGAGCGCAACCCUUACCCUUAUUUGCCAGCGGUUAGGCCGGGAACUAUAAGGGAACUGCCGGUAAUAAGCCGGAGGAAGGUGGGGACGACGUCAAGUCAUCAUGGCCCUUACGUGUAGGGCUACACACGUGCUACAAUGGGAGAUACAGACGGUUGCUAAAGCGCGAGCUGGAGCCAAUCCGACAAAGUCUCUCGUAGUCCGAAUUGCAGUCUGGAACUCGACUGCAUGAAGCCGGAAUCGCUAGUAAUCGCGGAUCAGCAUGCCGCGGUGAAUACGUUCUCGGGUCUUGUACACACCGCCCGUCACACCAUGGGAGUGCAUUGCACCAGAAGUAGAUAGCUUAACCUUCGGGAGAGCGUUUACCACGGUGUGGUCCAUGACUGGGGUGAAGUCGUA